This is a non-coding RNA of Triticum aestivum (bread wheat), 124 nucleotides long. The record is from Rfam. Lineage: Eukaryota; Viridiplantae; Streptophyta; Magnoliopsida; Poales; Poaceae.
CACAUACUUCCUCCGUUCGGAAAUACUUGUCCUGAAAAUGGAUAAAAUGGAUAUAUCUAUAACUAAAAUAAGUCUAAAUACAAUCAUUUUAAAGACAAGUAUUUCCGGAGGAAGGGAGUAUAUG